RNAcentral lists this ribosomal RNA (429 nucleotides) under Acidobacteriota bacterium. Its description in RNAcentral is "Acidobacteria bacterium partial 16S ribosomal RNA". It matches the Rfam family "Bacterial small subunit ribosomal RNA", at positions 355 to 776 of the family's 1533-position model. The record is from RNAcentral. RNAcentral also lists the same sequence under 1 other name. Lineage: Bacteria; Pseudomonadati; Acidobacteriota.
UGGGGAAUUGUUCACAAUGGGCGCAAGCCUGAUGACGCAACGCCGCGUGGGGGAUGAAGGUCUUCGGAUUGUAAACCCCUGUCGAAUGGGACGAAAGACCCGGGAGCUAAUCAUCCUGGGAGUGACGGUACCGUUAAAGGAAGCCACGGCUAACUCUGUGCCAGCAGCCGCGGUAAUACAGAGGUGGCAAGCGUUGUUCGGAAUUACUGGGCGUAAAGGGCGCGUAGGCGGCCAUCUAAGUCAGACGUGAAAUCCCCCGGCUUAACCUGGGAACUGCGUCUGAUACUGGACGGCUUGAGUAUGGGAGAGGGAUGUAGAAUUCCAGGUGUAGCGGUGAAAUGCGUAGAUAUCUGGAGGAAUACCGGUGGCGAAGGCGGCAUCCUGGACCAUUACUGACGCUGAGGCGCGAAAGCUAGGGGAGCAAACGGG